RNAcentral lists this transfer RNA (72 nucleotides) under Camelus bactrianus (Bactrian camel). It matches the Rfam family "tRNA". From Rfam's summary of the family: Transfer RNA (tRNA) molecules are approximately 80 nucleotides in length. Their secondary structure includes four short double-helical elements and three loops (D, anti-codon, and T loops). RNAcentral also lists the same sequence under 2 other names. The record is from Rfam by way of RNAcentral. Lineage: Eukaryota; Metazoa; Chordata; Mammalia; Artiodactyla; Camelidae.
GUGGGUAUAACUCAGUGGUAGAGCGCAUGCUUAGCAUGCACGAGGUCCUGGGUUCAGUCCCCAGUACCUCCA